Molecule: long non-coding RNA, 801 nt
Organism: Folsomia candida
Lineage: Eukaryota; Metazoa; Arthropoda; Collembola; Entomobryomorpha; Isotomidae
Exons: 5
Source: RefSeq, a predicted model, not a curated record
UCAACUUUGUAGCUUGCUUUCUGAACCGCAAGCACCGACGUGGAAAAUUAGUCCGAGUUUCAAGAAAUUAAUUCUCUCCAACUAAUUAUCUGAAUUUCAUCGGAACAUAGAAUGAGAUCGAGCUGAAAGGCAAUCACGGCGCACAAAUUGAUGUCUAAGUCCUUCUACAUCCCUGAAAAAAAUCCCUGAUGUCAAUUUCCUGGUCAAAAGCGAAAUUUUUGAGGUCACGCUGGACUCCCAAUAUGCGUAAUCCACUUGACAGAUUUUGGAGCACUAACGAACUAUAAACAGAUUGUCCGAAAAGUGACAGCUUGCAGCGAGAAAGAUUGGUUCGCCACUGACUCUGAAGCAAAGGACCAGUUUUACUGUAUUAAAAGAUGGGAACACCAAUUCAAUCGAUUCCGGAUACGUGGAAAUUUGAAAAUUUGCAACCUUGUCUUAUCUGUCGUGGAGACAAUCGAAACCAAUUAUCCAGUUUCUACAUUGUUUGUCACCGUCUAAUCUUGCCGUUAGCAGCUCAGACCUCGGCGGAAACAAUCUAAGUUGACCCACAAAGAUAAACAACUCUACAGACAGCCGGAAAAUAUUUUCAACAGUAGAGAAAUUAAGUUAUUCACUAGUAAACGUAAAGAUUGUUUUGUUAUCCAGAGUGUAAAGAAAUUGAAUUUACAACAAUUAAGAUAUGGUACCAAAAUUUAGCACUUUGUUUUGGAAUUGGGCCGAUUUAUUCAAAUUUUGUGAUAAUAACUGAUUUUAUAAUUGUAGUCGCUGAAAAUUGCGGGUUAAUUGAUUUUAAUGACU